Molecule: long non-coding RNA, 765 nt
Organism: Rosa rugosa (rugosa rose)
Lineage: Eukaryota; Viridiplantae; Streptophyta; Magnoliopsida; Rosales; Rosaceae
Exons: 3
Source: RefSeq, a predicted model, not a curated record
GCAACAUGAACUGUAGUGACGGCGGAGGACCUGGCUCCGUUUGAGCCGAUUUCGAAUCAAUCUCAAUAUCUUGAGCUACAAGCCACCAAUACUCUUGAUUCUUGGCUCAUAUGAUUCGCAUCAACUUUCUGAACAAGCACCAAGAAGAACCAGACCUGAAUCGACCAUUUUCACGUUCGUCGGAGCUCGACCGGUUUUUGAUCGAAAAUCAAAACCUUUCGAUCGUGAUAUCUCGAGUUGUAGUGCAUCGUUUUGAUUGAUUCUUGAACCAGUGGGUUUGCCUUGAUGUUCUUAACAACUCUCUAGAAGGAAUCGAGGCCUGAAAUUGAAGUUUUUACGUCGAAAUCUUGGCUCGCCGGUUUCUGCAUUUCUUCGCCGGUUUCUGGAAAAUUUCCGGCCACCUUCAACUGUUCUAGGUGAUUGACGGUCUCCCUUGGGUGAGCGGUUUCGGUGUGUAUUGUGUUGAAUUGAAGACGCAGCGGGAAUAUCGAGCGGGUAAUCCUACAGGUCAGGAGAAUCAGGACGGUGAUCGUGCGGGUUAGAGAAUUUGUUUUAGUUUUACAGCAAUUGUAAUUGUGAGGUGAGUUAUGCUCAUUUGAGCCUUACAAUAUAAUUUGGUGAGAGUGUGCUGUAAUAAACAAAUUUGAGAUUUGGUUUAUGUAAUAUCGAGCGAUGUGAGGUGUGGUUGUUUUGAGAAAAAAAUUCAGGUUGUAUUUAUGUGAGUUGUAUUAAUUCAUGUUUCGGAUUUGGAUUUGUUAUUCAAAA